Molecule: long non-coding RNA, 816 nt
Organism: Triticum dicoccoides
Lineage: Eukaryota; Viridiplantae; Streptophyta; Magnoliopsida; Poales; Poaceae
Exons: 4
Source: RefSeq, a predicted model, not a curated record
CUGCGAGGAGCGGCGCCUCCUUGGUACGAUCGCGACAUUGAUUCAGCCGGAUCGGCGGGGGUUAGUAGGCUCACAGGCUGGCAUUUCCUCGGAUGCAUCGAUGUUCUAAUCAUGAUGGCAUGACCAUAGAUCGUAUGAGUCUAGAAGACUUUGGGGCGGCUCAUCUGCGUGGAUGGUUGUGGCUGGGCACACAAUCCAUUAAUAAGCCUUCAAAUUUUCACACAGAAGGUUGUCCAGAUGAGCACUGGCCACUGGGAAAUGGCAACUUGGUUGAACUGAAUCAGCUCUAAUCUCCCAAAUUUGUGCAUUUAUCUUAAAAAACACUGCAGUGCUACCUCCCCGUAGUAAUAAAUAAGUAUAUUAUGAAGCUCAUAUAUGAUUAUUACUAUUAUUUUUGCACGUUCAAUCAAUUCCACUGAUAAAUCAUUUAUGCAUUUUUAGAACAAGCAUCAAGCAUCAUGUGGCAUUAUAGUCAUUGAUGAAGAUUGACAAUGCACUCAAAUACAAGACUUAUGAUGGUGUUUGGUGACUGAUAAAGAUGAUUGGAAAGGUGCUUUCCAGGCAUAAGGGUGACAGUUUGUACAUCUAGGGAACCAGGGCAAUUUGGACAUGUGAUAUUUCCUCGAGGUUAUCUGAUCAUAUAAUCUGUCACAAGUAGUAAGGGUGGGUAGAUGAGCAAAUUUUCCCAGAUGGCAAGAUAUCUAUACAAAUUAUGGAACUUGAAUCUGAACAUUGGAGAAGUGGACAGUGGACGAGACUACCACUGUUAUAUAUAAUUAUAGUGAUAUUCAAAGCUAUUUUUUUGUCUUAAUGUAA